Salinarchaeum sp. Harcht-Bsk1 is the source of this 91-nucleotide regulatory RNA element. It matches the Rfam family "S15-Halobacteria ribosomal protein leader". The record is from Rfam. Lineage: Archaea; Methanobacteriati; Methanobacteriota; Halobacteria; Halobacteriales; Natronoarchaeaceae.
UUGGGAACAGCACGGCCGCAAGUCUGACUCGCCGCCGCGUGUCUUCGCGGAGCGUCCCUCCGCCACGCACGGCUUGGGAUUGCGGAAGUGC